RNAcentral lists this ribosomal RNA (517 nucleotides) under uncultured bacterium. Its description in RNAcentral is "partial 16S ribosomal RNA". It matches the Rfam family "Bacterial small subunit ribosomal RNA", at positions 29 to 523 of the family's 1533-position model. The record is from RNAcentral.
AACGAACGCUGGCGGCGUGCCUAACACAUGCAAGUCGAACGGAGAUAAGAAGCUUGCUUCUUAUUUUAGUGGCGCACGGGUGAGUAACGCGUGGAUAAUCUACCUGAUGCUCUGGGAUAACAUCUCGAAAGGGGUGCUAAUACCGGAUAAGCCCACGAUCUCUUCGGAGAAUGCGGGAAAAGGAGGGGACCUUCGGGCCUUCCGACGGUAGGAGAGUACGCGUCCCAUUAGCUAGUUGGCGGGGUAAUGGCCCACCAAGGCUACGAUGGGUAGCUGGUCUGAGAGGAUGAUCAGCCACACUGGAACUGAGACACGGUCCAGACUCCUACGGGAGGCAGCAGUGGGGAAUUUUGCGCAAUGGGGGAAACCCUGACGCAGCAACGCCGCGUGAGUGAUGAAGGCUUUCGGGUCGUAAAGCUCUGUCAGAAGGGAAGAAAUGUAGGUGGCUAAUAUCCAUUCUACUUGACGGUACCUUCAAAGGAAGCACCGGCUAACUCCGUGCCAGCAGCCGCGGUAA